CGUGUAGGCGGUUAGGUAGGUCCGUUGUGAAAACUCGAGGCUCAACCUCGAGACGCCGAUGGAAACCCCCUGACUAGAGUCCGGAAGAGGAGAGUGGAAUUCCUGGUGUAGCGGUGAAAUGCGCAGAUAUCAGGAAGAACACCCGUGGCUAAGGCGGCUCUCUAGUACGGUACUGACGCUGAGACGCGAAAGCGUGGGGAGCGAACA
RNAcentral lists this ribosomal RNA (207 nucleotides) under uncultured bacterium. RNAcentral describes it as "partial 16S ribosomal RNA". It matches the Rfam family "Bacterial small subunit ribosomal RNA", at positions 568 to 774 of the family's 1533-position model. The record is from RNAcentral.